GACGAACGCUGGCGGCGUGCUUAACACAUGCAAGUCGAACGAUGAAACCUAGCUUGCUAGGUCGAUUAGUGGCGAACGGGUGAGUAACACGUGACUAACCUGCCCCUUUCUCUGGGAUAACGCUCCGAAAGGAGUGCUAAUACCGGAUACUCACACCGAGGCACAUGCCUUGGCGUGGAAAGUUUUUCGGAAAGGGAUGGAGUCGCGGCCUAUCAGCUUGUUGGUGAGGUAACGGCUCACCAAGGCGACGACGGGUAGCCGGCCUGAGAGGGGGACCGGCCACACUGGGACUGAGACACGGCCCAGACUCCUCCGGGAGGCAGAAGUGGGGAAUAUCGCACAAUGGGCGCAAGCCUGAUGCAGCGACGCCGCGUGAGGGAUGAAGGUCUUCGGAUUGUAAACCUCUUUCAGUAGGGACGAAGCGAAAGUGACGGUACCUAAAGAAGAAGCACCGGCUAACUACGUGCCAGCCGCCGCAGUAA
This 482-nucleotide ribosomal RNA is filed under the name uncultured bacterium. RNAcentral describes it as "partial 16S ribosomal RNA". It matches the Rfam family "Bacterial small subunit ribosomal RNA", at positions 28 to 523 of the family's 1533-position model. The record is from RNAcentral.